CUGGAACUGUUCUGCUUCAACCGCUCCAAAAAUCACCGACAACGCCUUUUCUUAAACUUAGAUGCAUUGCGUUCUGCCUCUGACCAAUCCUCUUUUGGCUUUGGCUUCUUCUCACCUCAUGUGACUAUGGUAGGCUCUUCCCAACCAAUCUCCACAGCUGUCCACGCAUCUUCAUUGAUUCCUCGAAUCAUUUGCUUCAUGCGAGCCUUCCAAUGACCAUAUUGGUCCGCAUUCAACACAAUCUCCUUCUGCAUAGAAAUAAUCGUGUCUAUCUUCACCUUCAGGAUAACACCGAUAACUUAAGUGCCCCGCUUUGAUACCACUUGUUACUGCAAGAUGACACUAUAAUAGUAUUGCAGAAGAUAACUCAAGAGACAAAAUAAUACAAGCAAACACUCUGCUUUAUUAGAAUCUCCUUUAAACAAUCUAUUACAAGACCUUGUUUAUUCAGCUUUACUCGUCUAGUGUUAACACCCUAACACAC
This 484-nucleotide long non-coding RNA is filed under the name Brassica napus (rape). Its description in RNAcentral is "long non-coding RNA (BNAP_LNC005900)". Lineage: Eukaryota; Viridiplantae; Streptophyta; Magnoliopsida; Brassicales; Brassicaceae. The record is from RNAcentral.